CUUGACCUCAGAUCCGGC
RNAcentral lists this ribosomal RNA (18 nucleotides) under Lentinellus ursinus. Its description in RNAcentral is "partial large subunit ribosomal RNA". The record is from RNAcentral. Lineage: Eukaryota; Fungi; Basidiomycota; Agaricomycetes; Russulales; Auriscalpiaceae. RNAcentral also lists the same sequence under 1 other name.